GAAAAAAGAAAUAAAAUGCCGAGCCUAUAAACUUCGAAUUGUAAUUCCGCCCCUGUUUUCAGAAUUCAGAUAUUCUUUCAAUCAUCCCAUAUGGAGUUCACUCGUUGAAUACUUUGGUGAUUAACUUGUUGCUGUUCGAAACUCAUUUCUUGUUGGUGCUGAUGCAUUUCAUGUAAAUUCCUGUGUCUCAUUCCUCCUAUCCCAAGAAAAUCAAGAGUCAAGCUCUCCUCAUUACUAUGGCCAGCUUCUUUAUUCAAUGUCCUCUGCUUUUCAUUAAACAAACCAGUAUUACUGUUAUUAUUAUUAUUAU
RNAcentral lists this unclassified non-coding RNA (310 nucleotides) under Hevea brasiliensis (rubber tree). The record is from RNAcentral. Lineage: Eukaryota; Viridiplantae; Streptophyta; Magnoliopsida; Malpighiales; Euphorbiaceae.